CUCCAGUUGAUCGCAUGGUCUUCUGGGAAAGCUUUCGCGGUAUGGGAUGGGGUCGCGUCCUAUCAGCUUGACGGCGGGGUAACGGCCCACCGUGGCUUCGACGGGUAGCCGGCCUGAGAGGGCGACCGGCCACAUUGGGACUGAGAUACGGCCCAGACUCCUACGGGAGGCAGCAGUGGGGAAUAUUGCACAAUGGGCGCAAGCCUGAUGCAGCGACGCCGCGUGAGGGAUGGAGGCCUUCGGGUUGUAAACCUCUUUUAUCGGGGAGCAAGCGAGAGUGAGUUUACCCGUUGAAUAAGCACCGGCUAACUACGUGCCAGCAGCCGCGGUAAUACGUAGGGUGCAAGCGUUAUCCGGAAUUAUUGGGCGUAAAGGGCUCGUAGGCGGUUCGUUGCGUCCGGUGUGAAAGUCCAUCGCUUAACGGUGGAUCCGCGCCGGGUACGGGCGG
This 448-nucleotide ribosomal RNA is filed under the name uncultured Bifidobacterium sp. RNAcentral's name for it is "bacterial SSU rRNA". It matches the Rfam family "Bacterial small subunit ribosomal RNA", at positions 173 to 639 of the family's 1533-position model. The record is from RNAcentral. Lineage: Bacteria; Bacillati; Actinomycetota; Actinomycetes; Bifidobacteriales; Bifidobacteriaceae.